UGGAGAGUUUGAUCCUGGCUCAGAUUGAACGCUGGCGGCAGGCCUAACACAUGCAAGUCGAACGGUAACAGGGAGCAGCUUGCUGCUCUGCUGACGAGUGGCGGACGGGUGAGUAAUGUCUGGGAAACUGCCUGAUGGAGGGGGAUAACUACUGGAAACGGUAGCUAAUACCGCAUAACGUCUWCGGACCAAAGUGGGGGACCUUCGGGCCUCAUGCCAUCAGAUGUGCCCAGAUGGGAUUAGCUAGUAGGUGGGGUAACGGCUCACCUAGGCGACGAUCCCUAGCUGGUCUGAGAGGAUGACCAGCCACACUGGAACUGAGACACGGUCCAGACUCCUACGGGAGGCAGCAGUGGGGAAUAUUGCACAAUGGGCGCAAGCCUGAUGCAGCCAUGCCGCGUGUAUGAAGAAGGCCUUCGGGUUGUAAAGUACUUUCAGCGGGGAGGAAGGYGYUGUGGUUAAUAACCACAGCRAUUGACGUUACCCGCAGAAGAAGCACCGGCUAACUCCGUGCCAGCAGCCGCGGUA
This 528-nucleotide ribosomal RNA is filed under the name Cronobacter sakazakii. RNAcentral's name for it is "bacterial SSU rRNA". It matches the Rfam family "Bacterial small subunit ribosomal RNA", at positions 1 to 522 of the family's 1533-position model. The record is from RNAcentral. Lineage: Bacteria; Pseudomonadati; Pseudomonadota; Gammaproteobacteria; Enterobacterales; Enterobacteriaceae.